AUUGAACGCUGGCGGCAGGCCUAACACAUGCAAGUCGAACGGUAACAGGAAGCAGCUUGCUGCUUCGCUGACGAGUGGCGGACGGGUGAGUAAUGUCUGGGAAACUGCCUGAUGGAGGGGGAUAACUACUGGAAACGGUAGCUAAUACCGCAUAAUGUCGCAAGACCAAAGAGGGGGACCUUCGGGCCUCUUGCCAUCGGAUGUGCCCAGAUGGGAUUAGCUAGUAGGUGGGGUAACGGCUCACCUAGGCGACGAUCCCUAGCUGGUCUGAGAGGAUGACGAGCCACACUGGAACUGAGACACGGUCCAGACUCCUACGGGAGGCAGCAGUGGGGAAUAUUGCACAAUGGGCGCAAGCCUGAUGCAGCCAUGCCGCGUGUAUGAAGAAGGCCUUCGGGUUGUAAAGUACUUUCAGCGGGGAGGAAGGCGAUAAGGUUAAUAACCUUGUCGAUUGACGUUACCCGCAGAAGAAGCACCGGCUAACUCCGUGCCAGCCGCCGCAGUAA
Molecule: ribosomal RNA, 506 nt
Filed under: uncultured bacterium
Lineage: Bacteria
Description: partial 16S ribosomal RNA
Rfam family: Bacterial small subunit ribosomal RNA
Source: RNAcentral